GCAGUUUGGGUCUGUGGUUGAAAGUCGAAGCCAGUCGCAGGCGAAACGAUCCACGUAAGCGGGGCAAUGUUCCCGUGAGCAUGGUGCGGUCUAGAUAUAAGUCCAACCGGUCUUUCCGAGAGGGGCAGUAGUGAGAGGCGAACGCCGGGUAGCGAACCCUCCAGUUGGCGAGUGUGGGGGCAAAGACCAGGUCAGCCGGAUCAA
This 204-nucleotide non-coding RNA is filed under the name unclassified sequences. RNAcentral describes it as "raiA RNA". It matches the Rfam family "raiA RNA". The record is from Rfam by way of RNAcentral.